This 465-nucleotide ribosomal RNA is filed under the name Vreelandella stevensii. RNAcentral's name for it is "partial 16S ribosomal RNA". It matches the Rfam family "Bacterial small subunit ribosomal RNA", at positions 338 to 795 of the family's 1533-position model. Lineage: Bacteria; Pseudomonadati; Pseudomonadota; Gammaproteobacteria; Oceanospirillales; Halomonadaceae. The record is from RNAcentral.
CCUACGGGCGGCAGCAGUGGGGAAUAUUGGACAAUGGGCGAAAGCCUGAUCCAGCCAUGCCGCGUGUGUGAAGAAGGCCUUCGGGUUGUAAAGCACUUUCAGUGGGGAAGAAAGCCUUGGGGCUAAUACCCUCGAGGAAGGACAUCACCCACAGAAGAAGCACCGGCUAACUCCGUGCCAGCAGCCGCGGUAAUACGGAGGGUGCGAGCGUUAAUCGGAAUUACUGGGCGUAAAGCGCGCGUAGGCGGUCUGAUAAGCCGGUUGUGAAAGCCCCGGGCUCAACCUGGGAACGGCAUCCGGAACUGUCAGACUAGAGUGCAGGAGAGGAAGGUAGAAUUCCCGGUGUAGCGGUGAAAUGCGUAGAGAUCGGGAGGAAUACCAGUGGCGAAGGCGGCCUUCUGGACUGACACUGACGCUGAGGUGCGAAAGCGUGGGUAGCAAACAGGAUUAGAUACCCCUGUAGUC